CAGCUUCACAGAAAACAAGCAGCAGUUUGGGGCAAAACAAUCCCAAAUAUCACAAGAAUCCAUUAUUCAACGAGUCGAACUGUACGGGGAAAAUUCUGCCGAACCUUCUUCUUACUAAUUCUAAUGCCUGAAAAACCAUAAAAACAUUCUUUAAGCAUGAAGGUAGCAAUUAAAGAAAAACUAUUUCAACCAUCUGACCUUGCUGUGCUCCUGACCGAGUUUGGAUCGACUACAUCAUUCCAAACAGAUCACACGAACGUUCGGCCUCUCGUUCAACACGGACCCCCAGGAAAUAUAACGCCUCCACCACCUAGUGACUGAGGAAGCAAGAUGGAAAGAACAGACACUGAAAUCACUGAGAAGGGACGAAACUACUGAACGUCAUCGUUCUUUAACGUGAUGCUACCACCAGCACGCUUCACGGCGGUGUGCUCGUGGUCAUGAGCGUUGUCAUGCUUUCUAGAAGCAGACGUUAUGUAAUGGUGUGAGAGCACAGCUGCAACAGGAGCAGAGUUCUCACAGCGGAUGCAGAUCAUUGACCUCAACGACAUUAGCUCCGCCCACAACAACGACCUCAAGAACACGCAGGAUACACAGAAAUAGAUCUUUAUCUGCAGGACACAAACAAAAAAGUCACAAAAGUGUUAGGUUUUUAUUUCCACAUGGGCGUGAGCGAGCGAGCGGUCACAGGUGAAGCACGCGGCCAUUAACGUGAGCGAGAUGUUAACGAUCUGUGUUCCUGUAGGUGAAAUGAAUUGUGAGCAGAAUUGUGACACGAUAUCUACAAACACAAAUAAAAUAAUGGAACAGAAAUAACAGACGGAUUUCAGGUGACUGUUCCGGGACAUGUGAGUGCAUGAGAUGAAGAAGCAGUGAGACGUCGGUGUCGUGUCUAACCUGAUGUCCCCUCAGCACAAGCACGUCACAUGACCUGGUAGAUCUCAACCAUUAGCUGUGUUUCAACUGGUAAUGUGGUUUUUCUGUGUUUCUGUAAGUUAUCAUCAUCAUCAUCAUCAUCAGCAUGACUCUGUGUGUCCUCCACAUUGGUUGUUACCUCCACAUUGUACUUCCACACCCUGCACUUGUCUCUGCCUCCAUCUGCAUAAUGAAAAACAGACAAAAUAACUUUGGUUUUGUUUAUUAACACGUUUACUUUGGCUGUGGUCUCAAAUGUUUACACAGAAAAACAUUUCUGUGUAUUUUAUUUGAGAAACAUAUUCUAUCACUGUUGAGAACUGCCUCUGCCCUGCCCCCCACCACACCCCAAACACCUAAUCACCCAAACUGCCUCUGCCCUACUUCCACCACACCCCAAUCACCCACAAAUCACCCAAACUGCCUCUGUCUUUCCGCACCACACCCCAAACACCCCUGAAUAACCCAAACUGCCUCUGUCCUGCCCCACCACACACCAAUCACCCCUGAAUCACCCAAACUGCCUCCUCGUUAUUUAUAUUUUGCGAAAUAAAAAACUAAUUCAUAAGAAAAUGUCAUGAGCAGUUUCAGAAAAACACAAAUAACAAUCAUGUGAGUGAACUGAAAUCUGACCCCAGAAAUCAAACCUGUGAUGACAGGAAUACACUGGGAUCCAAUAAAUAAAUGUGUGUGUGUGUGUGUGUGUGUGUAUGUGUGUGUAUGUGUGUGUGUGUGUAUGUGUGUGUGUUAUGUGUAUAUGUGUGUUUGUGUAUAUGUGUGUGUAUG
This is a long non-coding RNA of Tachysurus fulvidraco (yellow catfish), 1701 nucleotides long. RefSeq lists it as uncharacterized. The transcript is spliced from 3 exons. The record is from RefSeq and is a predicted model, not a curated record. NCBI's taxonomy places the organism in Eukaryota, Metazoa, Chordata, Actinopteri, Siluriformes, Bagridae.